RNAcentral lists this transfer RNA (87 nucleotides) under Acidobacterium capsulatum ATCC 51196. Its description in RNAcentral is "tRNA-Leu". It matches the Rfam family "tRNA". Rfam says of the family: Transfer RNA (tRNA) molecules are approximately 80 nucleotides in length. Their secondary structure includes four short double-helical elements and three loops (D, anti-codon, and T loops). Lineage: Bacteria; Pseudomonadati; Acidobacteriota; Terriglobia; Terriglobales; Acidobacteriaceae. The record is from RNAcentral.
UGCGGAAGUGGCGAAAUUGGCAGACGCACCAGACUUAGGAUCUGGCGGGGCAACCCGUGGGGGUUCAAGUCCCCCCUUCCGCACCAC